GUGCAAUUUUUGGAUAAUCGCAUGGUAGGAAUCUACCAUGAGGAAAGUCCAUGCUAGCACCGGCUGUGAUGCCGGUAGUGUUUGUGCUAGGCGAACCAAUAAGCCUAGGGACGUAGCAAUGCGUUACGGCGAUUGAAAGAGCUAAGUCGCAAGAUAUGUUCGAGUAGGUCUGAAAAGUGCCACAGUGACGGAGUUUUUAUGGAAACAUAAAAAGUGGAACGCGGUAAACCCCUCAAGCUAGCAACCCAAAUUUUGGUCGGGGCAUGGGAAAGUCGGAAACAGAACGAACUUUCCUGACUGCAUAAGCAGUAGACAGAUGAUUAUCGAAGGUGGUAGUGCCUAGUACCACUGGAACAAAACAUGGCUUAUAGAA
This 373-nucleotide RNase P RNA is filed under the name Streptococcus acidominimus. RNAcentral describes it as "partial ribonuclease P RNA". It matches the Rfam family "Bacterial RNase P class B". Rfam says of the family: Ribonuclease P (RNase P) is a ubiquitous endoribonuclease, found in archaea, bacteria and eukarya as well as chloroplasts and mitochondria. Its best characterised activity is the generation of mature 5'-ends of tRNAs by cleaving the 5'-leader elements of precursor-tRNAs. Cellular RNase Ps are ribonucleoproteins. The record is from RNAcentral. Lineage: Bacteria; Bacillati; Bacillota; Bacilli; Lactobacillales; Streptococcaceae.